CUACGGGCGGCUGCAGUGGGGAAUAUUGCACAAUGGGCGCAAGCCUGAUGCAGCCAUGCCGCGUGUGUGAAGAAGGCCUUCGGGUUGUAAAGCACUUUCAGCGGGGAGGAAGGCGUUAAGGUUAAUAACCUUGGCGAUUGACGUUACCCGCAGAAGAAGCACCGGCUAACUCCGUGCCAGCAGCCGCGGUAAUACGGAGGGUGCAAGCGUUAAUCGGAAUUACUGGGCGUAAAGCGCACGCAGGCGGUCUGCCAAGUCGGAUGUGAAAUCCCCGGGCUCAACCUGGGAACUGCAUUCGAAACUGGCAGGCUAGAGUCUUGUAGAGGGGGGUAGAAUUCCAGGUGUAGCGGUGAAAUGCGUAGAGAUCUGGAGGAAUACCGGUGGCGAAGGCGGCCCCCUGGACAAAGACUGACGCUCAGGUGCGAAAGCGUGGGGAGCAAACAGGAUUAGAUACCCCGGUAGUC
Molecule: ribosomal RNA, 464 nt
Filed under: uncultured Klebsiella sp.
Lineage: Bacteria; Pseudomonadati; Pseudomonadota; Gammaproteobacteria; Enterobacterales; Enterobacteriaceae
Description: bacterial SSU rRNA
Rfam family: Bacterial small subunit ribosomal RNA
Source: RNAcentral